This 1372-nucleotide ribosomal RNA is filed under the name uncultured bacterium. RNAcentral's name for it is "bacterial SSU rRNA". It matches the Rfam family "Bacterial small subunit ribosomal RNA", at positions 28 to 1381 of the family's 1533-position model. The record is from RNAcentral.
GAUAAACGCUGGCGGCGUGCCUAAUACAUGCAAGUCGAGCGAACGGACGAGAAGCUUGCUUCUCUGACGUUAGCGGCGGACGGGUGAGUAACACGUGGAUAACCUACCUAUAAGACUGGGAUAACUUCGGGAAACCGGAGCUAAUACCGGAUAAUAUUUUGAACCGCAUGGUUCAAAAGUGAAAGACGGUCUUGCUGUCACUUAUAGAUGGAUCCGCGCUGCAUUAGCUAGUUGGUAAGGUAACGGCUUACCAAGGCAACGAUGCAUAGCCGACCUGAGAGGGUGAUCGGCCACACUGGAACUGAGACACGGUCCAGACUCCUACGGGAGGCAGCAGUAGGGAAUCUUCCGCAAUGGGCGAAAGCCUGACGGAGCAACGCCGCGUGAGUGAUGAAGGUCUUCGGAUCGUAAAACUCUGUUAUUAGGGAAGAACAUAUGUGUAAGUAACUGUGCACAUCUUGACGGUACCUAAUCAGAAAGCCACGGCUAACUACGUGCCAGCAGCCGCGGUAAUACGUAGGUGGCAAGCGUUAUCCGGAAUUAUUGGGCGUAAAGCGCGCGUAGGCGGUUUUUUAAGUCUGAUGUGAAAGCCCACGGCUCAACCGUGGAGGGUCAUUGGAAACUGGAAAACUUGAGUGCAGAAGAGGAAAGUGGAAUUCCAUGUGUAGCGGUGAAAUGCGCAGAGAUAUGGAGGAACACCAGUGGCGAAGGCGACUUUCUGGUCUGUAACUGACGCUGAUGUGCGAAAGCGUGGGGAUCAAACAGGAUUAGAUACCCUGGUAGUCCACGCCGUAAACGAUGAGUGCUAAGUGUUAGGGGGUUUCCGCCCCUUAGUGCUGCAGCUAACGCAUUAAGCACUCCGCCUGGGGAGUACGACCGCAAGGUUGAAACUCAAAGGAAUUGACGGGGACCCGCACAAGCGGUGGAGCAUGUGGUUUAAUUCGAAGCAACGCGAAGAACCUUACCAAAUCUUGACAUCCUUUGACAACUCUAGAGAUAGAGCCUUCCCCUUCGGGGGACAAAGUGACAGGUGGUGCAUGGUUGUCGUCAGCUCGUGUCGUGAGAUGUUGGGUUAAGUCCCGCAACGAGCGCAACCCUUAAGCUUAGUUGCCAUCAUUAAGUUGGGCACUCUAAGUUGACUGCCGGUGACAAACCGGAGGAAGGUGGGGAUGACGUCAAAUCAUCAUGCCCCUUAUGAUUUGGGCUACACACGUGCUACAAUGGACAAUACAAAGGGCAGCGAAACCGCGAGGUCAAGCAAAUCCCAUAAAGUUGUUCUCAGUUCGGAUUGUAGUCUGCAACUCGACUACAUGAAGCUGGAAUCGCUAGUAAUCGUAGAUCAGCAUGCUACGGUGAAUACGUUCCCGGGUCU